Molecule: transfer RNA, 65 nt
Filed under: Scaphidema metallicum
Lineage: Eukaryota; Metazoa; Arthropoda; Insecta; Coleoptera; Tenebrionidae
Description: tRNA-His
Source: RNAcentral
AUUUAAGUAGUUUAACAAUAAAAAUUUUGAUUUGUGGGGUCAAGGAUGUAGUAUUAUCUUAAAUA